Molecule: non-coding RNA, 24 nt
Filed under: Arabidopsis thaliana (thale cress)
Lineage: Eukaryota; Viridiplantae; Streptophyta; Magnoliopsida; Brassicales; Brassicaceae
Source: RNAcentral
GCGGUUGGUAGCGGUUGUUAGCGA